AAGUCGUAACAAGGUUUCCGUAGGUGAACCUGCGGAAGGAUCAUUAAUGAAUUAAAUCGAAAGGGAGUUGUUGCUGGUCUCUUCGGAGGCAUCGUGCACGCUCUUCUUUUCUUCAUUCAUCUACCCCCUUCGUGCACUUCUUGUAGGCCGAGAAAUUCGGUCUAUGUAUUUUAUUAUCACACCCCAUUAAAAACGUUUAAUGAAUGUUUCAAAUAAGAUUUUGGGGGGACGCGAGUCCUUUUCAAUUCUUUAUAAAUCUAAUACAACUUUCAACAACGGAUCUCUUGGCUCUC
Molecule: unclassified non-coding RNA, 293 nt
Filed under: Arrhenia sp.
Lineage: Eukaryota; Fungi; Basidiomycota; Agaricomycetes; Agaricales; Hygrophoraceae
Description: partial contains small subunit ribosomal RNA, internal transcribed spacer 1, and 5.8S ribosomal RNA
Rfam family: Eukaryotic small subunit ribosomal RNA (bases 1-46)
Source: RNAcentral